This 301-nucleotide ribosomal RNA is filed under the name uncultured bacterium. RNAcentral describes it as "partial 16S ribosomal RNA". It matches the Rfam family "Bacterial small subunit ribosomal RNA", at positions 509 to 807 of the family's 1533-position model. The record is from RNAcentral.
CAGUAGCCACGGGAACACGAAGGGUGCAAGCGUUACUCGGAAUUACUGGGCGUAAAGCGUGCGUAGGUGGUGGUUUAAGUCCGUUGUGAAAGCCCUGGGCUCAACCUGGGAAUUGCAGUGGAUACUGGGUCACUAGAGUGUGGUAGAGGAUAGUGGAAUUUCCGGUGUAGCAGUGGAAUGCGUAGAGAUCGGAAGGAACAUCUGUGGCGAAGGCGACUAUCUGGGCCAACACUGACACUGAGGCACGAAAGCGUGGGGAGCAAACAGGAUUAGAUACCCCUGUAGUCCCUGUCUCUUAUAC